Molecule: transfer RNA, 87 nt
Filed under: Ilumatobacteraceae bacterium
Lineage: Bacteria; Bacillati; Actinomycetota; Acidimicrobiia; Acidimicrobiales; Ilumatobacteraceae
Also listed under: 2 other names
Description: tRNA-Leu
Rfam family: tRNA
About the family: Transfer RNA (tRNA) molecules are approximately 80 nucleotides in length. Their secondary structure includes four short double-helical elements and three loops (D, anti-codon, and T loops).
Source: RNAcentral
GCCCGGAUGGCGGAACAGGCAGACGCAGGGGGCUUAAACCCCCCGGAUGGCAACAUCUUGCGGGUUCAAGUCCCGCUCCGGGCACCA